This 253-nucleotide ribosomal RNA is filed under the name uncultured bacterium. Its description in RNAcentral is "partial 16S ribosomal RNA". It matches the Rfam family "Bacterial small subunit ribosomal RNA", at positions 524 to 776 of the family's 1533-position model. The record is from RNAcentral.
AACGUAGGAGACGAACGUUAUCCGGAUUUACUGGGCGUAAAGGGCGUGUAGGCGGUUUGUUAAGUCUGGCGUGAAAGCUCUCGGCUAAACCGGGAGAGGUCGUUGGAUACUGGCGAACUAGAGGAUGGUAGAGGCGUGUGGAAUUCCGGGUGUAGUGGUGAAAUGCGUAGGGAUCCGGAGGAACACCAGUGGCGAAGGCGACACGCUGGGCCGUACCUGACACUGAUACGCGACAGCAUGGGGAGCGAACGGG